UGCGUAGAGUGCAAACGUUAUCCGGAUUUAUUGGGCGUAAAGAGUUGCGUAGGCUGUUUGGCGCAUUUUGUUUGAAAUACUCCGACUUAAUUGGAGAUUUGGACAAAAUAUGGCCAAACUUGAUGACUUCAGAGGAUGCUGGAACCUAUGGUGUAGCAGUGAAAUGCGUUGAUAUCAUAGGGAACACCAAAGGCGUAGGCAGGCAUCUAGGAAGAACAUGACGCUGAGGCACGAAAGCUGGGGGAGCGAAACAG
This 254-nucleotide ribosomal RNA is filed under the name uncultured bacterium. Its description in RNAcentral is "partial 16S ribosomal RNA". It matches the Rfam family "Bacterial small subunit ribosomal RNA", at positions 524 to 776 of the family's 1533-position model. The record is from RNAcentral.